Long non-coding RNA from Hyla sarda, 921 nucleotides. RefSeq lists it as uncharacterized. Lineage: Eukaryota; Metazoa; Chordata; Amphibia; Anura; Hylidae. The record is from RefSeq and is a predicted model, not a curated record. The transcript is spliced from 3 exons.
CAGCCGCAUGCAUCCAACAGUCCAUGUGUUUUACCCUUAAUGUCUGGUCUAUAAAAGUCUGACUGCAGGGAACCCCACAAUCAUGUCUCUUGAAGAAAUGGAGUAGAAGCACCCAUUCUUGAUAAACCCUUUAAUGACUUUAUCAAAUUGGAGAUGGUUGACCUCUCAUCACUCAAAGUAAGUGACAUCUCAGAGAAACCCUAGGAAACGUGGGUUAGGGAGACUUUGCCAAGUUACCACAGAACACCCCCGUGAUGACCCCUGCAAUAAGCACUCUCGCCGGAUAGCUGCCAGAACAGGAGGAUAGCCUCAAGUCAAGUCAGUCAUUGGUUAAGUCUGUCACAAGUCACGUCUGUCAUCAGUCUAGUCAGUCUAAAGUUGAACCUGUCUCCAGUCAGUCUAAAGACAAGUCAACACAGGAGAAUUACAAGUCCAAGAAGGGUUAUGUCUGCAUUGAUUCUUAAACUGUACAAGGCAUGUGACAGUAAUGCCUCAAAUCAUUCAACAACUAAAGAUACUGGAUUUUAUUUACACUAUAUAUCUUAGGAAACCUAUAUACAAACAAUAUUCAUAUGUAAAGUAUAGCUCUAGAGUGAAGUUGCCUUUUAAGUUACCAAUUGAAGGAUAUUGCACAAAUGUUUAUUUACCCUUUCAUCCAAACUGGCUAUUGUGUAAUAUUACAGCUAACCAUUGUGCUGGUGGUGAACGUGAACAUGACCUUGUGCAUGAACUAUAAAGGCUGACGUCUCUGCAGUGGCUACACUCAUAUGGUGCACGCACAUUACCAACAGGAAUACAUUAGAAACUUUACUACUAAAUUACAGGACAGAACAAAUGAACCAAUAGGCCCCCUCCAUGAGACUACACCCCCCUCCCAACUUCACUGUGACUCAUUGAAACAGUCAGUGGUAUGCUCCUUGU